Molecule: ribosomal RNA, 460 nt
Filed under: uncultured bacterium
Lineage: Bacteria
Description: partial 16S ribosomal RNA
Rfam family: Bacterial small subunit ribosomal RNA
Source: RNAcentral
CCUACGGGAGGCAGCAGUAAGGAAUAUUGGUCAAUGGGCGUAAGCCUGAACCAGCAACGUCGCGUGAGGGAUGAAGGUUCUAUGGAUCUUAAACCUCUUUUAUAAGGGAAUAAAGUGCGGGACGUGUCCCGUUUUGUAUGUACCUUAUGAAUAAGGAUCGGCUAACUCCGUGCCAGCAGCCGCGGUAAUACGGAGGAUCCGAGCGUUAUCCGGAUUUAGUGGGUGUAAAGGGUGCGUAGGCGGCCUUUUAAGUCAGCGGUGAAAGUCUGUGGCUCAACCAUAGAAUUGCCGUUGAAACUGGGAGGCUUGAGUAUGUUUGAGGAAGGCGGAAUGCGUGGUGUAGCGGUGAAAUGCUUAGAUAUCACGCAGAACCCCGAUUGCGAAGGCAGCCUGCCAAGCCAUGACUGACGCUGAUGCACGAAAGCGUGGGGAUCAAACAGGAUUAGAUACCCUAGUAGUC